CCUACGGGAGGCAGCAGUGAGGAAUAUUGGUCAAUGGGCGGGAGCCUGAACCAGCCAAGUCGCGUGAGGGAAGCCGGUCCUAUGGAUUGUAAACCUCUUUAGGCGGGGAGCAAUGCCGGGCACGCGUGCCCGGAGGGAGAGUACCCGCAGAAAAAGCAUCGGCAAACUCCGUGCCACCAGCCGCGGUAAUACGGGGGAUGCGAGCGUUAUCCGGAUUUAUGGGGUUAAAAGGGUGCGUAGGCGGAUUUUUAAGUCAGCGGUAAAAUGUCCGGGCUCAACCCGGGCCGGCCGUUGAAACUGGGGAUCUUGAGUGGGCGAGAAGUAUGCGGAAUGCGUGGUGUAGCGGUGAAAUGCAUAGAUAUCACGAAGAACUCCGAUUGCGAAGGCAGCAUACCGGCGCCCGACUGACGCUGAGGCACGAAAGCGUGGGGAUCGAACAGGAUUAGAUACCCGAGUAGUC
RNAcentral lists this ribosomal RNA (460 nucleotides) under uncultured bacterium. RNAcentral describes it as "partial 16S ribosomal RNA". It matches the Rfam family "Bacterial small subunit ribosomal RNA", at positions 338 to 795 of the family's 1533-position model. The record is from RNAcentral.